This 446-nucleotide long non-coding RNA is filed under the name Homo sapiens (human). RNAcentral's name for it is "non-protein coding LINC01182:15". The record is from RNAcentral. Lineage: Eukaryota; Metazoa; Chordata; Mammalia; Primates; Hominidae.
UGCAAAUGAUAUUUCUAAUCAGAUGUUCAUCCAGAAAGUAAUUAACUUUAGGAAAGUAAAGGCCCUAGAGGCUUCUGAAAAGAUUUCCUUACUCUCAAUUCUCCCUGAGCAUUGCUUGAUAUUUGCCUCCCCCUGAGCUGUAGAGCCCAAAGGGAAGAUGAGAAGCAAGUCCUGCUGAUAUGGAUGCGGAUCACAUUUGCGUGACUCAGAGCUGUGGGGAGGCCAUCUGUUGAGAUGAGAACCUGUGAAGAUGGAAGGAACCUAGAUGUUUGAGUCAUGGGGUGGAGAAGAGACCAUGUAAACCUACAUUGAAAUUUGUGUGACUCCCUCCCCCUCAACCAGCUUAGAAGUCGGGUGGAAGAGGAAGCUGGAUGGAACAACAUGAGCCCUGGUCAGGGCAGACUUAAGCCAGGAGAUGAAGUGCCAUAUACAGAGAAAACCUCAGU